UGGGGAUAUAGCUCAGUUGAUAGAGUGUGUGCCUUACAUGCACAAGGCCCUGGGUUCAAUCCCCAGCAUCACAU
Molecule: non-coding RNA, 74 nt
Organism: Sciurus carolinensis (gray squirrel)
Lineage: Eukaryota; Metazoa; Chordata; Mammalia; Rodentia; Sciuridae
Source: the annotation of a RefSeq genome assembly